Molecule: ribosomal RNA, 437 nt
Filed under: uncultured bacterium
Lineage: Bacteria
Description: partial 16S ribosomal RNA
Rfam family: Bacterial small subunit ribosomal RNA
Source: RNAcentral
AGCGAACGCUGGCGGCAGGCCUAACACAUGCAAGUCGAGCGGGCACCCAUGAGGUGUCUGCGGCUGACGGGUGCGUAACGCGUGGGGGCGUGCCCUACGGUUCGGUCUAAUUCAGGGUAACUUGAGCUAAUACCGGAUACGCGCGAGAGCCGCAAGGGUUGUCUGCCGAAGAAUGGGCCAGCGUCUGAUUUGCAAGUUGGUGAGGGUAUGACGCACCAAGGCGACGUUCAGUAGAUUGGCAGAGAGGAAGAGCAGCGACACUGGCAGUGAGACACGGCCCAGAAUCCUACGGGAGGCGGCAGUGGGGGAUAUUGCACUACGGGGGCAACCCUGAUCGAGCCAGGCCGCGUGAGUGAUGUCGGCCUUAGGGUAGUAAAGCUCGUUUCUCCGGGACGAUAAUGACGGUACCGGAAGAAUAAGCCCCGGCUAACUUCGUG